CCUACGGGAGGCAGCAGUGAGGAAUAUUGGUCAAUGGGCGCUAGCCUGAACCAGCCAAGUAGCGUGAAGGAUGACUGCCCUAUGGGUUGUAAACUUCUUUUUUAUGGGAGUAAAUUGCAGUAUGUAUACUGUUUGCACUGUCCCUUAUGAAUAAGGAUCGGCUAACUCCGUGCCAGCAGCCGCGGUAAUACGUAGGUGGCAAGCGUUGUCCGGAUUUAUUGGGCGUAAAGCGAGCGCAGGCGGUUCAAUAAGUUAGAUGUGAAAUCCUACGGCUUAACUGGAGAAUUGCAUCUGAAACUGUUGAUCUAGAGUGUAGAAGAGGUGGGUGGAACGUAUGGUGUAGCGGUGAAAUGCAUAGAGAUCAUGCAGAACACCGAUUGCGAAGGCAGCGUACCAGCGCACAACUGACGCUGAUGCACGAAAGCGUGGGUAGCAAACAGGAUUAGAUACCCUAGUAGUC
This 460-nucleotide ribosomal RNA is filed under the name uncultured bacterium. RNAcentral's name for it is "partial 16S ribosomal RNA". It matches the Rfam family "Bacterial small subunit ribosomal RNA", at positions 338 to 795 of the family's 1533-position model. The record is from RNAcentral.